This is a long non-coding RNA of Actinia tenebrosa (Australian red waratah sea anemone), 135 nucleotides long. The record is from RefSeq and is a predicted model, not a curated record. NCBI's taxonomy places the organism in Eukaryota, Metazoa, Cnidaria, Anthozoa, Actiniaria, Actiniidae.
GCGAUGGCAUGACAGAGAACGACAUCAUGAAAACACAACUUUUGGAAAAUAUGACUGCAGCUUCGUUGAGCAGAUCCCUCUGUAUCUAUUUAUAUGAUUCUUCCGAGCUGUUAUCUGUAACCCACGCUGGCACCC